This 456-nucleotide long non-coding RNA is filed under the name Bos indicus x Bos taurus (hybrid cattle). Its description in RNAcentral is "lncRNA (ENSBIXG00000019366.1)". Lineage: Eukaryota; Metazoa; Chordata; Mammalia; Artiodactyla; Bovidae. The record is from RNAcentral.
GUUGGCAAAGUAAUGUCUCUGCUUUUUAAUAUGCUGUCUAGUUUGGUCAUAGGUUUUCUUCCAAGGAGCAAGCGUCUUCUAAUUUCAUGGCUGCAGUCACUAUCUGUAGUGAUUUUGGAGUCCAAGAAAAUAGGAACCGACUCUCAUUGCCAGGGGCUCUGGGUGGAGCAGACUGCACCCUCGUGCAAACCAGGCGGAGGAACACACUUCACCCUCGUGUUCAUCCACAGAUGCUCCGUGUCUCUGGCCUGCCGUAAAAUCUGUGAAAGUCAUCUUUGUAAAACCACGCCAUUCCUCCGAGGGAAAUCCUUUGACUUUGCAGUGAAUAAGAGUAUGUUGGAGAAAGAUGUCACUGCCUAUGAAACGGGACACGUGGAGUGUUCCAGACUGAUGUUCUGCAUCGGAGGGGAGCCCAGCUGGACUCCAUUGGGAAAGGCUAACCCUUCCGCAGGGUGA